UCGGUCGAUUUAAUUUAAUUCUAGUGGCGGACGGGUGAGUAACGCGUGGGUAACCUGCCUUAUACAGGGGGAUAACAGUCAGAAAUGGCUGCUAAUACCGCAUAAGCGCACAGAGCUGCAUGGCUCAGUGUGAAAAACUCCGGUGGUAUAAGAUGGACCCGCGUUGGAUUAGCUAGUUGGUGGGGUAACGGCCCACCAAGGCGACGAUCCAUAGCCGGCCUGAGAGGGUGAACGGCCACAUUGGGACUGAGACACGGCCCAGACUCCUACGGGAGGCAGCAGUGGGGAAUAUUGCACAAUGGGGGAAACCCUGAUGCAGCGACGCCGCGUGAAGGAAGAAGUAUCUCGGUAUGUAAACUUCUAUCAGCAGGGAAGAUAGUGACGGUACCUGACUAAGAAGCCCCGGCUAACUACGUGCCAGCAGCCGCGGUAAUACGUAGGGGGCAAGCGUUAUCCGGAUUUACUGGGUGUAAAGGGAGCGUAGACGGUGUGGCAAGUCUGAUGUGAAAGGCAUGGGCUCAACCUGUGGACUGCAUUGGAAACUGUCAUACUUGAGUGCCGGAGGGGUAAGCGGAAUUCCUAGUGUAGCGGUGAAAUGCGUAGAUAUUAGGAGGAAC
This 617-nucleotide ribosomal RNA is filed under the name uncultured Lachnospiraceae bacterium. RNAcentral describes it as "bacterial SSU rRNA". It matches the Rfam family "Bacterial small subunit ribosomal RNA", at positions 62 to 707 of the family's 1533-position model. Lineage: Bacteria; Bacillati; Bacillota; Clostridia; Lachnospirales; Lachnospiraceae. The record is from RNAcentral.